This 1542-nucleotide ribosomal RNA is filed under the name Triticum aestivum (bread wheat). Its description in RNAcentral is "partial small subunit ribosomal RNA". The record is from RNAcentral. Lineage: Eukaryota; Viridiplantae; Streptophyta; Magnoliopsida; Poales; Poaceae.
GUUGGGGCCUGCUUGAGCCUGGCUCUGGUAAGUUUAAAAGAAGGUGACGGGGAUCGGGGUCGGGGUCGGGUAGAGAAGAGUAGGGGGACGGACAGAGGAGGAGGCGAGGCGAGCGAGGAAGGCGUCUAGGCGCGGUCGCUCCUGGGCCCCUCUCCUUAAGGGGACGGCUACCGCCACUUACCCAGCCGGUUGCCCAGCAGCCCCCGGUUGCCCAGGAGCCCCGGCUGGUCCUGGCACGACCACUGGCCUCCGCGCCCGAUGUAGCCGUCGGUGCGGCACGACGUCGACGAGCGGCGCCCGAAGGCGCGGCAGCAGCAGCUGUCGGAGCUCUUGAGGAGGCUCGAGCGGCAGGCGGCGCAGCGGCGCGAGCGGCCCCUGGUGCGCGCCUUGGAGAGGAAGGUGUUCCAACUAUAGGCACUACUCCUACGUGACCUACGACAAAAACGAAGGUGUUCUAAACUACGACAAUAAGUGAAACGACCUGACUUUCGACAGCCACUCUCACAUGUCUUCGGUAACAAAAUGAUACUGGUAUUGUAACGACCGUGUUAUUUAGAAAACUUUCAGUACCGUCGGGUACUUACGUUCUUCAACCACAAGAGUAGUAGUCGACGUCAAAUACCUAGUGGAUUCUUGAGUGGGACGUGUCUCCUCAAAGGAGAGGAAGGCGUGUUAGGGAUACCGUCUUGGUUCGAAUACCGACUCCUCUAUACGGCACUAUAUAUGGCCAGUCUAAGACUCACCUCCUAGUAAAAUGAAUCCAUGAAGUUGGGCCAACCCCGUGUGGGGUCACCUAUGGAACCACUUCUGGGUGCACCUCAAGGUUUGUUGGAAUACGGGAUGCAAGUCGUUCAACGACAACCCUCCUCCGGCAGUCACUGUUAGAAACCUUUAUUGAUACGUUGAUUUCUACCCUGACCCCAUGCUCUAAUAUAAGUACACGAACUAGAACGACUCCCCGUAUAACGACGUGAUGCCUUCGAAAAACUAUCAAGCAGAUUGUAUCCUACACUUGGUAUGUUGGAACCCUGACCUUUCCCCUGCAGUCACAACCUCUAUCAGUUACGUAAGCUCUUCCGAAGACCUUUCUUUUAGGGCGACCAGUAGCCAGUCGCAGCGGGACCACUACGGCUCUAAGAGAAACGUCCUUGACCGUUUCGUCUCUCUCUUGAGUUGACCUUUCGCUUUAUACCGUAGUGCCUCUACACGUCCCUGGUCACCUUGACCCGAUCGUUCUUGGGAAUGCCCAUGCCCAGUGGGCUGAGCUGGUUCGUCUUGCCAUCGUUAAGUGUGACUUGUUGUGCCUAGCCAGGCACGCCUGAGUGAACAUGUACGUUGAAUCACGGAUGCUCGACCCUAGCCACAUCUAGAUCAGCCGGUCAGUAUGUCUCUUUCAAUGCUCUAAUCUUUUUUUCCAACGAGACAACAAGAAGGCGAUAGCGCACAAUGGGAGGACACAUAUAUAGUCUUUAAACCAGAUGAGACGGCGACCCAAACCCUCGAAACCCCCACACGCCACGGAACACUACCGGAUAACGAAUA